UACGGGAGGCAGCAGUGGGGAAUAUUGCACAAUGGGCGAAAGCCUGAUGCAGCUAUGCCGCGUGUAUGAAGAAGGCCUUAGGGUUGUAAAGUACUUUCAUCGGGGAGGAAAAAACAAAACUAAUAAUUUUAUUUCUUGACGUUACCCGAAAAAGAAGCACCGGCUAACUCCGUGCCAGCAGCCGCGGUAAUACGGAGGGUGCCAGCGUUAAUCAGAAUUACUGGGCGUAAAGAGCACGUAGGUGGUUUUUUUAAGUCAGAUGUGAAAUCCCUGGGCUUAACCUAGGAACUGCAUUUUGAAACUGAAAUACUAGAGUAUCGUAGAGGGAGGUAGAAUUCUAGGUGUAGCGGUGAAAUGCGUAGAUAUCUGGAGGAAUACCUGUGGCGAAAGCGGCCUCCUAAACGAAUACUGACACUGAGGUGCGAAAGCGUGGGGAGCAAACAGGGAUUAGAUACC
Molecule: ribosomal RNA, 456 nt
Filed under: uncultured bacterium
Lineage: Bacteria
Description: bacterial SSU rRNA
Rfam family: Bacterial small subunit ribosomal RNA
Source: RNAcentral